CAUUCUCAUUCCUACAUCUUCGUCUGAAAUAAAGAAAGAAAGAGAGAUUUGAAUUAAGGAAGAAAACCAAGAGAAAUCUAGAGAGAGAAACAAAAACCAGAAAUACAGAGAGCAAUCCGACCUUAUUUCGCCUCCAGAAUUAAGCUUGCAAAACACCGCAGCAAACACCAAACAGAGGGGUUCUUCUCUGCUGCACCAGAAGCGGCUCUGUGUUCGAAACAGCCCAGAACCUUCGAAUUCGACCCAAAUUCGUCACCGACUCUGUACCGCUGCACAGGCGAGUUGCCGACUGUUUUUCUUGUUGCAGACAUUUUCCAUUCGCGCGUUUUGCAUUUCGCUUCGUGCGUUAGUGAGGUAAGAGAGACAGUAAUCUAGUUUAUGUAAAUUUGGAAUUUUAUAGGCGCAUUUAGAAGGUGAAAAUCGCAUGAAAUUUACCCCCAGCAUGCUGUUAACAAAAACAGUGUGUGGGUGUGUGUGUGUGUGUUCAUGCAUAUUUUGUGUAAUUAAAACGUGUUUAAGUGUU
Carica papaya (papaya) is the source of this 523-nucleotide non-coding RNA. NCBI's taxonomy places the organism in Eukaryota, Viridiplantae, Streptophyta, Magnoliopsida, Brassicales, Caricaceae. The record is from RefSeq and is a predicted model, not a curated record.